CCCCAGAGCCUGCAGCAGCCUCUUGCAGAGGAGCAGAUGUGACUGCCAACCUCAGCAGUCUGGCAACUGCACAGACAAACCCGGGGAGAACUUGAGAGGCGAGGGGGAGGCUCUGGGCCGGGCGUUACCUUGGCAGGUCCUGCCAUCAUGGGAGAGCGCGUAGCCGCUGUAGCAGGCACAGUGGAAGCUGCCCGGCUUGUUGAAACAGAUGUGGUUGCAGCCCCCGUUCUGCUGGCCACACUCGUUGACAUCUGGGCACAGGACACAGAGAGACCGGGGAGUGUCCGCAGGGAGCAUGCCAUGGCAUCUGCAUGCCUGUCUGUGCCGUCACACGGCAGGCACGAGGGUCCCACUGCAGGUCAGCCUGCCCUGACCCCCAGCCGUCCUAUGGGUCUGCUCCAGGCUUUGUUCUUUGACACGCCACAGCUGUGCAGACGGUAAAUGUGUCCUGGUGGCUCUGUUGGUCCCUAUCUCUCUCUGCUCUCUUCCUGUGUGGACACAUGCCUCAUCCAGCUCUGGACAGCAUGGGGCCCAUGGCUGAGGCCCAAAGCAAGGGCCAGGGCUGAGGGGACCGUGACACCUCGCUGCACCUGAGCCUGUGCCCCUCAGCUGCGUUGACAAUCCAUGGCAAAACCUUGCUACUCUGGAUUGUUCUGUUGUCGCUGGGGGGCGACCAACAACAUUUCCAGCAGCCAUGGGGACUGUGGCCUUCAGCGGUGGAGACACAUCCCUGGGCCCGGCGGGGGCGGCCGGGCCAUGGAGGGACUAGCCCAGGCCAUCCUCACCCCACGUCACCCUUUCCAGAGCCAUGUCCUGCAGGACCCUCACCAGCCCAACACCAGGUUUGGGCACAGCAUUUCUGCCACCGGACUUGCUCCUGCUCAGCAGCAGCAAACCCCUAGUGCCCCAGCCCGUCCAGGCCUCCACCGGCCCCAGUGGUACCAGUCCAGACUCAGCGGAGCUGUGUCCCUUUGUCCCACACAGCUUCUCUCCAGGACCUAAGGGGGCCGCAGAGCCGUGUGUGCACCCAGCAAGCAGCAGAAUGAGCGACACUUCGGAUGCGUGGGUGAGGACAAGCCUCUGCAGGCACCAAGGGCACCACUUCCUGCCCAGCCUGAGCGCCAGACACAAGAGGCCUUUGGGGACAGGCACCCACAGCCCCGGGUGGCGGUGCUGCUCUGAGCCGGCGGGGCUGCCCCUGGCAGGAGCCUCUCUCGGCUGCUUUAGCUCCCUGUUCUCCAGAUCUGAGGGUGAUGAUGGGCUCCAGGGCGGUGCCCACCGUGACUAACAAGAAGGGGCUCCUCCAAUGGGGCUGGACAGAAGGUGGAGAGUCAGUGGGAGGAAAGCCCCAGGCCAGGAGUGAGUGGGGCUGAGGGGGGGCCCGGGCAUGCUGAGAGGCCCGCUCCAUGAGGCUGUUGCUUUGACUUUAACAAUAAUGAGCAAUCAAGCACCCAGCUAUGCCUUGUGCCUCGUGGCCAUGAAAUAAGAUGGCUUUGGGAGGGAACCGAUGAAAACAGCAUGAAGUGCCUCCAGCGUCCUGUGCACGGAGGCCUAGGGGUGUGGCUCUGGGGGUUGGGGGCAAGUAGGGCGUGCGUGGGUCCUGAGCGCCAGGCCUCGGGUCCCUGUCCUCAGCUAUCUUCACAUGCAGCUGAGUAAGGAUGGCACGUCAGGCUUCAGAGAAUUGACGGAGCACAAACAGCAUGUGGUCACACACCCAUGGAGGAUGACCCGGGGCAGGAUGGAGAGGCCAGGAGUGGGAGGCGGCGUCCCGAUGGGCUGGGAUCUCCUGCAGCCUGGCAGUGGCAUGAGAGCUGUCCUCUGAUGCCAGCUCAGAAACUCCCCUUCCUCCCGCACUCCUGGCCACCUGCCACCAGAGCACAGAGCCUCCAGCCCACUCAGAAGAAAUCUGUGGUGUUCAAACAGUUCAAGUCCCUCUAACCAUGAGAUCUCUAGCGGGCAUGACAUGGCCCAGGACUGUGACAGCCUCCGUUUAAGCAAGACCUGGGUGAUUUUACACAAAUGCUGUUGGAACAAGGGGCUGCCAUCUAGAAACUGCAAUGCUCACACCGCCAGGAGGUAUGAAGCUCUGGGAAACUGUUUAUGAUCUCCAGAAAAUCACAGUCUAUGACCCAGGAACUUAAACAAUCUAAUCAAUUUGGAGACCUAAUCUGAAAGGAAGAAACCGAUUUAGCAGAUUGACAACGAUAAAAAAAAUUGCUAAAAACAAAAAGCCAAAAUGACACAAAACUAAAACUGCCACGACACACCCCUGAUGUCUGCCUAAGGCCUUGGGGAGGUCAAUUCAGCCCUGGGAGACGCCAAUGUCACAGGGAGGCUGAGGAGGGGGCUUGCCCCAGGUCGCCCAUGAUGCAUGGGCUGGUUCUGGCUGCCCUGAGUUAAGAGGCACUUCUACCCAAAAUGACAGAGCCCAGUGGGCUCUGCUCCUGUUAGGUGACACUGCCUGGGGCUGAAGGGGGUGGGGGCCGAGCAGCAGUGCCACCUUACCUCCCCUUCCUGAUUUAAGUCAAUCAUUUCUCUGCUCAUCUGGGCUGGCUUUGGACUGUGCCCACAUGUGGACAGGUGGGAGGCCAGACGCAGCAGCUCUGCUACCGAGUCAGGCCAGCCAGGCCCUGUGAGCAGCCGUGGGUCCUCCUCUGCCUUCCUGGCUGCCUUGAGGGGGCAGGCGCAUGUGUAACGCAAGCCUCUGCAGCUGGGGCUGGGCGCUCAGAGCCCACUGCCCAGCACAUGCAAUGAACAGACUGACUGCUGGGCUUGGGGGCGACCAGGCAGCUGAGUGACAGGACAGCAAGCAAAACGGCAGCUUCAACAUGCGAUCAUUUAAAAUAACACUAAAUAACUAACUAAAUAACUAAAAAUAACUAAAUAACUAAAUUUAAAAAAUGACAUUACUACAUAAAAAAGAUGCAUAAUGAGCUUGGAAAAAUUGUGGUACUUUUAGGACAAAUGGCUAAUCAAGAGCUCCUAUAAAUUGAGAAAAACAGGCAAAGCAUAUAAAGAGAAAAACAUAAACAGAAAGACUAGCCAUAAUCUUCACCGUUGAUAUUGAAGGAGACCAAAAAGUAAAAGCAUGUGUUAGCCUGCCAGGCAUGGGGACGGCUAUCUUGCUUGCCCACUGCCCGGGGGUGACCAAUGCUGGAUCUGCAUCAGACUGAGUGAUGCUGCGCAGGCUUGGGGCUGCACUCCCACCUGGGAAUCUGUCCCACAGACACACUUCGAUGAGUGUAAGAUUUGUCUGUGAUAAGCAGCCCGUGAGUCCGCCGGGAAACGGUGAAAUAGUGCUACCUACCCGUACCGGUACACUGUGCACGUGUGUGCACUCUGUACAGGCUGAGCUGGAAGACAACCUGCACGCAGGGCAGCAGAAUGAGGUCAGGCACAUCUAUGGGAAGCUAGCAUUUGUGCAAAGCCAAAAGUGCCUAUGUGUUUACAGGUCUCAGAAUAUUCUGGAAGCCGAACUGGUUGAUGAGGAGGCAUGGCUGGAUGCGCUCGCUCUUCACACCCGUGAAAGGGUUAGCUUUUGUACUGCAUGCACGUCCUGUCUAUGUAAAGAACCAAAGCUGGGAUCCCUGGGUGGCUCAGCAGUUGAGUGCCUCCCUUUGGCCCAGGGCAUGAUCCUGGGGUCCCGGGAUUGAGUCCCACAUUGGUCUCCCCACAGGAAGCCUGCUUCUCCCUCUGCCUGUGUCUCUGCCUUUCUCUGUGUGUCUCUCAUGAAUAAAUAAAUAAAAUCUUUAAAAAAAAUAAAGAAUCAAAUUUACUUGCUUAUGAGAGAAAGUUCAGUGGAAAAAGAGCAGAGCUCAGGCUGGUGCUACUGCUCCCUAGGAUCAAUGGAAAUACUCAAGACCCCCUGAAAACCACAGCAGAGCCUGGAGUGACCUGAAUACGCAGGGCUGUGAAGAAGACAGGAAGGUGACAGACUUACUUUGAACACAUGAAACAAAAUCUGGGCUCUUUGUGUACGGAGAUCCAUGCUUAGUAAUGCAGUCUGCAAGAGAGAGAUGGAAAGAAGGUCAUUCCUGCUGCAGGACACAGGACAGACCUUAGACCUGGUACAUGGCCUCUGAGAUAUCUCUGGAGAAGAGACUGUCAUGUUUAUGGGGUGCUGAAGCUGAGGCACAGGUCAGCUUUUGUAUCACAGAUCAUUUUAACCCCAGCAGGCAAGAGAAUGCCUUCACCAAAGAAGAGGAACUGUGUCCGAAGUCUGUCUGCAGCCUUUUCAGGGGAUCCUUUUGCUUCAAACCAGAAGGAUCCUGAGCUGCACUCAGGGAGCACUCUGACCACAGUCACAGUGAUAAACUUCAAUUGCAACAGACACUGUCUGGAAACACCAGCCUUAAUUCGAAAAUCAUUCUGCCUUGGGGAGCAUCCCCACCUGCCCCAUCCAUCUGACAGGCGUGGGCAAAGGCGCCUGGGAGCUUGAAGGCCUGCAGAGCAGGUGUGGAGCUGCCAUGGCCCCUGGCACUCCACCCUGCCCAGGAGGACCAGGCCCUGGCAAGCUGGAGGGCACUCCUGGCAAAGCUGCUCACCCUUUGCCUCUGGAAAUAAACCGUGCACACCCUGGCAGGGGCCAGGUCUGUGGGGAACAGGCAGCCUGGGAGCGGGCGGGUUCCUGAGCUCUGCAGGGCCACUUACAGUUCCUCUUCUCUGUUGCCAGAUACAGACUCAGAGAAGGAACCUCUGAGAGGAUGUAAAGCCAAUGGAAAAUCUACUAACAUGCCCUUUGAAAAAUCAAAAAGGAAGGCCCUGGAAUAGGUUUAUUUCAUUCUAAAUGACAUGCAUCUAAGAACAAUCUUAAAAUGGUAUUAAUUAGAGGAGCAGUUCUCGGGGAAAUCCAGGGCCUCUUUCUGAUCAUCCAGGUUAGACUCGGCUGUCAUUUGUCCUUUCCUUUUCUCCGCUACUCGCACAGUGACGUCCCUGCUCAGUGACUGGGAGUGUCUGCUUAUACAUUCCUCUUGUUCAAAUUAAACAAAAACAUGUCCUCAGAGCUGAUUAACAGUUUGGCAAAUAUCAACACACGCAGCCCACAUAACCAAGUUCUCUGGGGUCUUUGAUAAUUCUGGAAGUGCAGGGACCCUGAGACCAAAAUGUCUGAGAGCCACUAAAUCAAUCACACUCCCAAACAGUGAGUUAAUCCUGAAGUCAGAGCACGGAAGCCGUCUGCAAAUAAUGGCACCGGACUGAGUUAAUGCGGCCCCUAUGGCGUGAAAGACACAAACAGGUGUUCUUCCCGGCGUGCUCUGGGUGGUCCCAAGCUCACUGUGUGAUUAAGCAACCUCCCCUUCAGGAGUGACUGGGUAACGAGCUGGCCCAGAUGUCUCUGAUGUGUGACACAGAGCCCCCUCUAUUCUUUUGUGACACCUACAGAAGCAGGGAUGUAAACUUACCUAAGUAUCUUGGAUAAAAAUAGUCCUGCAGAAAAAGAAAAAGAAAGAACAACAGUUUACUGGCACAGCACAGGCUCACAAACAGCCCCUGAGCAGCUGGGCAGUGAGACCG
Long non-coding RNA from Canis lupus familiaris (dog), 5514 nucleotides. RefSeq lists it as uncharacterized. The transcript is spliced from 4 exons. The record is from RefSeq and is a predicted model, not a curated record. NCBI's taxonomy places the organism in Eukaryota, Metazoa, Chordata, Mammalia, Carnivora, Canidae.